Molecule: ribosomal RNA, 416 nt
Filed under: uncultured bacterium
Lineage: Bacteria
Description: bacterial SSU rRNA
Rfam family: Bacterial small subunit ribosomal RNA
Source: RNAcentral
GGAAUCUUCCGCAAUGGGCGACAGCCUGCCGGAGCAACGCCGCGUGCGGGAUGACGCCCUUCGGGGUGUAAACCGCUUUUCUUCCGGAAGAACGUGGGGGGUGAAUCUCACCUGACGGUACGGGAGGGCGAAGGACCGGCUAACUACGUGCCAGCAGCCGCGGUAAUACGGAGGGUCCGAGCGUUGCCCGGAGUGACUGGGCGUAAAGCGCGCGCAGGCGGCGGGGUAAGCAUGGCGUGAAAGCCCCCGGCUCAACCGGGGAGAGUCGUCGUGGACUGCACCGCUUGAGGGCGGUAGGGGCUGGUGGAAUGCCUGGUGUAGUGGUGAAAUGCGUAGAGAUCAGGCGGAACACCCGUGGCGAAGGCGGCCAGCUGGGCCGUCCCUGACGCUGAGGCGCGAAGGCGUGGGGAGCGAAC